This is a long non-coding RNA of Anastrepha obliqua, 717 nucleotides long. RefSeq lists it as uncharacterized. The record is from RefSeq and is a predicted model, not a curated record. The transcript has 2 exons. Lineage: Eukaryota; Metazoa; Arthropoda; Insecta; Diptera; Tephritidae.
CCAUCCAAUCCCAUUGAAUUCGCCCUACUACAGUUGUAGAAAUCCCAACAGUGACUUUAAUAUGAAUUUGUGUAUUGUAUAGCACAAACUACUUAUAUACAUAUUUAUAUUUCGACCUUAAGGCGUUUUUACUAAGCUGAGCCUCACACACCACCCUAUCAUCAUGGUGACGAUUCUGUUCAGGAGAAUUAAAGAAAAGGGCCAGCUAAAAGAGGAACUUAAGGUUCAAACCUGAUUGAAAAAUAAUCUAAAGUGGCAACCUAAAGGGUUAAUAACCGAUUGACCAUUCCGACGAUGUAAAAUAAUACACGGGAUUCCAAGUUUUCUCCAACUACAACGAUGGCAACUUCAUCAAUAGUUGGUGCAUUAAAACGUCUUGCAUGUUUUCCAACAGGUGUUUUGUCAGCUCUGAUUACAAUUUUGUGAAUAUCAGAUGUCAUCAGAUCCAGUGCAGUUUUAAACAACAUAAGCAAUUGAUUGUGCUCAUGAAAUAAAGUUUGUAAUUGUUCUACAAUAGACCUCUUUAGUGAAUUAUUAUGUGAACAACGCAUAUCAAUUUCUUGUGGUGAAUUGCCCAUGAAAUAAAUUCACAGGAAUUUGUAAUUGCUAUCUGACACUGGUAAUAGUGAACCUGCUCAGUGAUAUAUUUGGUCUUGUACCUGUAAAUAAAAAAAAAUGAUUUGACCAAAUAUAAAUAAUAUUUGUUCCUAAAAAGUA